GACGAACGCUGGCGGCGUGCUUAACACAUGCAAGUCGAACGCUGAAGGCCUGGCUUUUGUUGGGUUGGAUGAGUGGCGAACGGGUGAGUAACACGUGAGUAACCUGCCCUCUUCUUUGGGAUAACGCCCGGAAACGGGUGCUAAUACUGGAUAUUCACUGAUCUUCGCAUGGGGGUUGGUGGAAAGGUUUGUUCUGGUGGGGGAUGGGCUCGCGGCCUAUCAGCUUGUUGGUGGGGUGAUGGCCUACCAAGGCUUUGACGGGUAGCCGGCCUGAGAGGGUGACCGGUCACAUUGGGACUGAGAUACGGCCCAGACUCCUACGGGAGGCAGCAGUGGGGAAUAUUGCACAAUGGGCGAAAGCCUGAUGCAGCGACGCCGCGUGAGGGAUGGAGGCCUUCGGGUUGUAAACCUCUUUCGCUCAUGGUCAAGCCGCAACUGUGGGUUGUGGUGAGGGUAGUGGGUAAAGAAGCGCCGGCUAACUACGU
Molecule: ribosomal RNA, 485 nt
Filed under: uncultured bacterium
Lineage: Bacteria
Description: partial 16S ribosomal RNA
Rfam family: Bacterial small subunit ribosomal RNA
Source: RNAcentral